RNAcentral lists this long non-coding RNA (285 nucleotides) under Lathyrus oleraceus (garden pea). Its description in RNAcentral is "Pisum sativum (pea) long non-coding RNA (PSAT_LNC027321)". Lineage: Eukaryota; Viridiplantae; Streptophyta; Magnoliopsida; Fabales; Fabaceae. The record is from RNAcentral.
AAGAAUCGAAUUCUGAUUGACUAAAUGGACCAACAAAUCACAAGAUCAAAAAACCAAAAAAAAAAACAGAGAAAGAAUUAAAAUAAAUAAGUCUAUCUAAAAGCAAGUCAUCUAAAACCAAACCAUUUACCUUAAUUCAUAAACAAAACGUGAUUUUACUAUUGAUAGGGUGGUGUGUUUGUGGUUACUAAAUAUUGACGUGGUUUAUUAAAAUCAAUGUUUAAAAACUUGUAAAUGUUUUUAUUAUAAAUUAGAAAAUGAUUAUAAUUUGAUUAGUAUUUGAAA